CAGAGCUUUGUCACGGGCGUCCGGGGUUGGACCCCUUCCUCCCAACCCAAGCCCUGCCAAUAUUUGCCCUUUUGGCAUUUCUGCGUUAUCUGCCUAGCAGCACUAAUGAUCUCGAAAAGGGACAUGGAUCCGUUAGGAAGCAGUGGUUUCAAACUCCGAUCAAUACCAUGAUAACUUUCGCGUUCCUCCCCUUUUUCUCCCCAGCCUUUUUUCACGUUCAAUGCUGGUGUCAGCCAGAUGGUUCACCAUUACCCAAGCUCGAGCCGCCUUCUUCUCUGAGCUGCAGGCAAAACCCGGACAAGUGGAAUAUGAAGCUUGCUGCAAGCCCUUAGGGUGGCGUUCGCGGCCGAACUGGGCAUGCUCAGCACGAAGGGCUAGUCUAAGUAGCGAGUAAGAAGCUUUGGGAUUACUCUGGCAGCGGAGAGAGCGCGCAGCGGGUCUGGCUGGGGAGAGUUAGGCUCGCUGGGAAGGUCCUUUUCUCGUCCCGCCUCUCUCAAGCAUCGGUGCGGGAGGCAGCUGGCUUUCCCGGCCGGGGACACUCGGGAGGCGCUGCCUCGGGUCGGGGAGUGGCGGGGCUUCUGCUAGUUCACCUCAAACCCAAGUCCAUUUCUUCGGUCCUUGACCAAGGAGGAGAGCUUGCUGAGCUCCAAGAAAAGCUUUUGUGCACCGCUCGCUGCUGGCUCUGAGCAAGGAAAAAACAGCCUACCAAGCCUCCCAGUACCGUUUACACUUGUAUUCUUAAUGCUUUUGCAAUUUUUUGAAAUCUUUGGGUUUGGAGUCCAAGAGCCUUGAUUCAAAAUCCCAGCUCUGCUACUAACUACCUGUAUCACCUUGGUCAUUAGGGGGUAUACUCAUAAAGAGGGAGGUUUUUUCAAAGAAGAAGAGACCAGAAUAGGAUGGAACAAAUAACAACAACCACCACAAGUAUUACUAC
Molecule: non-coding RNA, 934 nt
Organism: Phascolarctos cinereus (koala)
Lineage: Eukaryota; Metazoa; Chordata; Mammalia; Diprotodontia; Phascolarctidae
Source: RefSeq, a predicted model, not a curated record